UAUUAUAUUUAAUGUUAUAUGAUUAUUAGGGUAGUAAUAUAUGAAUAUUUUGAAACUCAAAGAAUUUGGCGGUGUUUUAGUCUUUUCAGAGGAAUCUGUCCUGUAAUUGAUGAUACACGAUUUGUUUUACUUAAUUUUAUUAUUAAUUUGUAUACCGCCGUCAUAGGAUUAUUUUUGUUGGAGAAUUAUAAUUGUCUUAUUUUUUUAUUAGUAAAUAUGUCAGGUCAAGGUGCAGUUUAUAAUUAAGUGGAGAUGGAUUACAAUAAUUUUAAUGUUAUUAUGGAUAAUUAUUAUUAGAUUAAUUUGAAGGUGGAUUUGAUUGUAAAUUUAUUUUUGAUUUUUAUAUUGAUUAGGGCUCUAUAAUGUGUACAUAUCGCCCGUCGCUCUCGUUUUGAAAAUGAG
This 402-nucleotide ribosomal RNA is filed under the name Cardiodactylus nobilis. RNAcentral's name for it is "partial small subunit ribosomal RNA". The record is from RNAcentral. Lineage: Eukaryota; Metazoa; Arthropoda; Insecta; Orthoptera; Gryllidae.